CAAGUCAUGUGCUCAAGAUGGCUAUGCUCAAGAUGAAAACAAGUUUGACAUGAUGACAUCCUCCGCUUAUCAAGAAUUGAAAGAAAGGCUUUGGUUUGAUGGAAGCUUCUCAAGUGGUUUCAUUUUUUAUUUAUCUUUUGAUCUUGAGUUGAUAGGAAAGCCGUACUAUUAAGAGGGAUGCAUCAUGAUCAUAGAUUAAUACUCUCUAGUGCUCAAGUCAACCCAUGUGAGGUCUUAGAGAGACUAACCUGAGAGCUGAA
RNAcentral lists this long non-coding RNA (260 nucleotides) under Sorghum bicolor (sorghum). RNAcentral's name for it is "long non-coding RNA (SBIC_LNC007349)". The record is from RNAcentral. Lineage: Eukaryota; Viridiplantae; Streptophyta; Magnoliopsida; Poales; Poaceae.